RNAcentral lists this ribosomal RNA (440 nucleotides) under uncultured bacterium. Its description in RNAcentral is "partial 16S ribosomal RNA". It matches the Rfam family "Bacterial small subunit ribosomal RNA", at positions 338 to 795 of the family's 1533-position model. The record is from RNAcentral.
CCUACGGGUGGCAGCAGUAGGGAAUAUUGCUCAAUGGGGGAAACCCUGAAGCAGCAACGCCGCGUGGAGGACGAAGGUUUUCGGAUUGUAAACUCCUUUUUUUAGAGAAGAUAAUGACGGUAUCUAACGAAUAAGCACCGGCUAACUCCGUGCCAGCAGCCGCGGCAAUACGGAGGGUGCAAACGUUACUCGGAAUCACUGGGCGUAAAGAGCGCGUAGGCGGGAUAGCAAGUCAGAUGUGAAAUCCUAUGGCUUAACCAUAGAACUGCAUUUGAAACUGGUAUUCUAGAGUAUGGGAGAGGUAGGUGGAAUGCUUGGUGUAGGGAUAAAAUCCGUAGAGAUCGCGAAGAAUACUCAUUGCGAAGGCGACAUGCUAGAGCAGAACUGACGCUGAUGCGCGAAAGCGUGGGGAGCGAACAGGAUUAGAUACCCGGGUAGUC